This 411-nucleotide ribosomal RNA is filed under the name uncultured microorganism. RNAcentral's name for it is "bacterial SSU rRNA". It matches the Rfam family "Bacterial small subunit ribosomal RNA", at positions 9 to 416 of the family's 1533-position model. The record is from RNAcentral.
GAGUUUGAUCAUGGCUCAGAUUGAACGCUGGCGGCAUGCCUUACACAUGCAAGUCGAACGGCAGCAUGAUCUAGCUUGCUAGAUUGAUGGCGAGUGGCGAACGGGUGAGUAAUACAUCGGAACGUGCCCUGUAGUGGGGGAUAACUAGUCGAAAGAUUAGCUAAUACCGCAUACGACCUGAGGGUGAAAGUGGGGGACCGCAAGGCCUCAUGCUAUAGGAGCGGCCGAUGUCUGAUUAGCUAGUUGGUGGGGUAAAGGCCCACCAAGGCGACGAUCAGUAGCUGGUCUGAGAGGACGAUCAGCCACACUGGGACUGAGACACGGCCCAGACUCCUACGGGAGGCAGCAGUGGGGAAUUUUGGACAAUGGGCGAAAGCCUGAUCCAGUAAUGCCGCGUGUGUGAAGAAGGCC